GAUGAACGCUGGCGGCGUGCCUAACACAUGCAAGUCGAACGGAAAGGCCCUGCUUUUGUGGGGUGCUCGAGUGGCGAACGGGUGAGUAACACGUGAGUAACCUGCUCUUCACUUUGGGAUAACUUCACGAAACUGGGCUUAAUAUCGUAUCGCAGCUCCUGCUGCAUGGUGGGGGGUGGAAAGUUUCGGGGGUUGGGGUUGGAUUCGCGGCUUAAGAGCUUGUUGGUGGGCUAGUGGCAUACCAAGGCUUUGACGGGUAGCCGGCCUGAGAGGGUGACCGGCGACAAUGGUACUGAGGUAGGGAGCAGUCCGGAACGUGAGACAGCAGUGGGAAAUAUUGGACAAUAGUCGUGGGCAGGAGGCAAAGACGCCGCGAGCGGGAUGACGUUCUUCGGGUUAUAAACCGCAUUAGCCUGAGACGCAGCGUUGGUGACGGUAAUGGGUAAAGAAGCACCGGCUAACUUCGUG
Molecule: ribosomal RNA, 468 nt
Filed under: uncultured bacterium
Lineage: Bacteria
Description: partial 16S ribosomal RNA
Rfam family: Bacterial small subunit ribosomal RNA
Source: RNAcentral